UUAAGCGUUGGAAACUAUGAAGAAUUCUCUUUACUUGGGCACCUGGGAAAUUCGGAGUUAGUGGUGCAACCGGCCAACAAUAAU
Molecule: non-coding RNA, 84 nt
Filed under: Clostridium felsineum
Lineage: Bacteria; Bacillati; Bacillota; Clostridia; Eubacteriales; Clostridiaceae
Description: Clostridium roseum c-di-GMP-II sequence
Rfam family: Cyclic di-GMP-II riboswitch aptamer
Source: RNAcentral